RNAcentral lists this long non-coding RNA (1079 nucleotides) under Mus musculus (house mouse). RNAcentral describes it as "long non-coding RNA chr8:79218325-79219404". The record is from RNAcentral. Lineage: Eukaryota; Metazoa; Chordata; Mammalia; Rodentia; Muridae.
CUCUCAAAAAACACUCCCCAGGAGAUUUCACCUCAGUGAUGCUGUUUUCUUCUUAAUCACCACUAAUUUCUUAGCUUCAGCUAACCAGGGUCAAUAAUCCCAGUAGUCCCUUCUAUUUUUUACUCUAAAGCCAGAGCCACAUGGCUGAAGCUGCUGAGGUCUACUGCUUGCUGGAGCUGGGACAUGGCCCUCUUGUUCUAUUAUACUAUCACCAACAUUCUGUUUUCCAACUCCCUCAUUGCUGAAAUCCUGGAAAUUUCUCUGCAGAUUAAUCAUGAACUCACAGAUCUGCAUGGGUCAGUCUCCUGAACACUGGGAUUAGGGGUGUGUACCACCAGGCCUGAACUUAAUGCUUUUCUUUAUCUGGAACUUGCUCUGUAUAAGGCUAUCCUUGAACUCAGAGAUCUGCUUACCUCUGUCUCCUGGGAUUAAAGGUGAGUAGCACCAUGCCUGAAUUUAUACUUUUCGUUAUAGGUCUUAAUCAUGUUGAAAAAUGAGAAUAGCCAUUACAAUCCAUCUCUUCUCAAAUUGACACAUAAUCAUAUCUCCUUAUGUCCAAAUGAAAACAACCACCAGGUCAUAAUAAUGCCUAACAUUAUAAAACUCUCCCUCACACAACUGCACAUGCUUAAAUUUAGCUUGGGGCCUUACCCUGAGGUCACUACUCCCUUAAUUUCACUCAAUAUCCAUGAACAAAGGAUUUAGCUUCAUUCCACUUUCUGUGCCCCUUUAUUCUUUGAACUCUACAUUUUGUAUUUUUCCUUCCUAAGCUCGCUAUGCUUGAUAAAAAUGCUUUUCAUAAGAGUAAUGCAGAGGACAAAGUCUAUGCUGGACCUUUUUUUUUUUUUUUUACUUUCUUUAUCAAUGCAACUAAUAUCUUUAUCUUAGCCAUAGGCAGACUUUUUGGACAAGGAAUAAACCAGCAGCAUUCUUCACCCAAACAUGUUAAGAAUGAUCUCUAGAGUUCAAAUCAGCCUCUGUACCAAUGUCUUCCAUAUUCCUACUAGGGUGGCCCAUUAAAUCUCACUUAAAGCACUUCAUGGCUUUCCAAAUCCAAAGUCCCCAGAUCCACAAUCAUC